GGGAUGGACACGUUACCGCACUUGUCGGGGCACCCUGGCAAUGAUAUGGUAAGCCCAGAAGAGGUGGCCGGCGCUAUCACUGAGAAAGCGACGAUAAUCAGGAGGACUAAUGCUUCUUCCAUGGCUAGAGGUUUAUUAAAUCUUGAAAAGCCAUCUCCAGGUUUGAGCCCCAUUCAUUGCUUCAUGUCUUUGUAUCUGAUAAAUGUGAAGGCACGCCUAGUCUUCUCGAGGAGUCAGCUAUAUAGUUCGAAGCCUUCCUCUGGAACAAACAAACUGGUUGAAACAAGCAACAGAAGGAUUGACUUUGAAAGUCGAGGCAGGCCAGGUGGCAGCAAAGCCGAAGGAUAAUCAUGUUUAGUUGAUCAUUUCAUCUUCGGAUUUGUAUAUGUUUAGGCUUGAAGCCGUCACUUGUGUGCUUUGUUUCUGCGGAUGAUUUGACUUGUCUGAUCUUCUGUUUUCAUGCAGUUCUCACUGUCUGUCAAGAAUAAAAGAGGGGCCUCUGCGUCUGUCCGUUAUGUGAAGAGUGCAAUGGUGUCCGGUUCCAUGUUCCCAUGGCGUGCUUGAGUGGGUUCUCUCUGCACAUGUAUUUGUUUGGGCAUCUGAUGCAAGCGUACCCCGUUUUGGAGCGAGGAGCGUGCUGAACACCAAGGUACAAUUACGAAGGCUGGAGCAAUGCUAAGAAACACUGCUACUGGUAGCCUAGCAGAGGCGACUGUAGCAGCAACGACAACGGCAAGCAGCUGGGGCGGGACGGCGUCGCGGGGUAGGUAGCGCACGCGGGAUGGUGGCGGCGUCCGGCGGUGAAAGAGAACAGGAGUGCUAGGGCUGAGAAGAUGGGAGAUCCCAUGGAUGAGGAUGCGCGCACGAAUCUUAAACACCGGAAGCCAAGCUGGGAUUGCCGGGCAAGAACGACCUGUCUAGUAGCUAUAUUAGUUUCCUAUUUUACCCCUUUGCCUCUACAUGUACUAAAUGGGCUUCGUCGUUUGGUGUGGAAUGAGAAAGUAUCCAUUUUGAGCCAA
Molecule: long non-coding RNA, 1019 nt
Organism: Setaria italica (foxtail millet)
Lineage: Eukaryota; Viridiplantae; Streptophyta; Magnoliopsida; Poales; Poaceae
Exons: 2
Source: RefSeq, a predicted model, not a curated record